Molecule: long non-coding RNA, 623 nt
Organism: Triticum aestivum (bread wheat)
Lineage: Eukaryota; Viridiplantae; Streptophyta; Magnoliopsida; Poales; Poaceae
Exons: 2
Source: RefSeq, a predicted model, not a curated record
UCGCCGCGCGCAGUCCCCCGCCUCUUCUUUCUUUCUCCCGGUGUCCAGCAGCUUCUGUACGUUUCCUUUAGAUUGGAGGACGGGGAGGAGAAGGAAGGAGCCGCGGUAAUCGGCGCGAGGCAGGCAACUUGGCGAGACAUACACGAUGCGCAUGGCCCGCAUGCUGCAGUUAUAAUCAUCUCAGCAAGAUGUGGAGCGUCGGGAGAUGAGAAAAAAUUGGACGAGGCGGCGGCGGGAGAACCGGCAACACGUGCACAAGAGGCACGGCGAGGCGGCGGUGCGACGGGAAAGAGGCACGGUGAGACGACAGCGCUCCGGGUAGGAGGCACGGCGAGGCGGCGCUGCAACGGGAAAGAGGCACGGUGAGAUGAAGGCGCUCCGGGUAGGAGGCAGGGCGAGGCGGCGGCGCACUGGUUCGUUUGUCUGUCCGCCUCCUGUGGUUUUGAUCGUUUCAAUCGAUCAGGAGCCAGGUGAAACGAUGGAUGGGUAAUUUUGUCCUAAACAAUAUGUCAUAUGGGCCCGUACGUGGAGAAGUAACAAAAAGGUAGAUUUGUGCUAUUUUGUACAGCUACCAAUUAAAUGUGUGCUAUUUUAUCUAAUAAAAAGAAAAGUGUGCUAUUGAA